RNAcentral lists this ribosomal RNA (328 nucleotides) under uncultured eukaryote. RNAcentral's name for it is "partial 18S ribosomal RNA". It matches the Rfam family "Eukaryotic small subunit ribosomal RNA", at positions 1470 to 1796 of the family's 1831-position model. The record is from RNAcentral.
CCCUUAGAUGUCCUGGGCCGCACGCGCGUUACACUGAUGCAUUCAACGAGCAUAUAACCUUGGCCGAGAGGCCUGGGUAAUCUUGUUAACAUGCAUCGUGAUAGGGAUAGAUUAUUGCAAUUAUUAAUCUUGAACGAGGAAUUCCUAGUAAUCGCAGUUCAUCAAACUGCAAUGAUUACGUCCCUGCCCUUUGUACACACCGCCCGUCGCACCUACCGAUUGAAUGGUCCGGUGAGGCUUUGGGAUCUGAGCGGAAAGAGCGUUUCGCUGUUUCUGCUCGGAAAACUCAGUCGAACCUUAUCAUUUAGAGGAAGGAGAAGUCGUAACA